RNAcentral lists this ribosomal RNA (495 nucleotides) under uncultured bacterium. Its description in RNAcentral is "partial 16S ribosomal RNA". It matches the Rfam family "Bacterial small subunit ribosomal RNA", at positions 28 to 507 of the family's 1533-position model. The record is from RNAcentral.
GACGAACGCUGGCGGCGUGCCUAAUACAUGCAAGUAGAACGCUGAAGGAGGAGCUUGCUUCUCUGGAUGAGUUGCGAACGGGUGAGUAACGCGUAGGUAACCUGCCUGGUAGCGGGGGAUAACUAUUGGAAACGAUAGCUAAUACCGCAUAAUAGCAGUUGUUGCUUGACAACUGUUUGAAAGGUGCAAUUGCACCACUACCAGAUGGACCUGCGUUGUAUUAGCUAGUUGGUGGGGUAACGGCUCACCAAGGCGACGAUACAUAGCCGACCUGAGAGGGGGCUCGGCCACACUGGGACUGGGACACGGCCCAGACUCCUACGGGAGGCAGCAGUAGGGAAUCUUCGGCAAUGGACGGAAGUCUGACCGAGCAACGCCGCGUGAGUGCAGAAGGUUUUCGGAUCGUAAAGCUCUGUUGUAAGAGAAGAACGAGUGUGAGAGUGGAAAGUUCACACUGUGACGGUAUCUUACCAGAAAGGGACGGCUAACUACGUG